CCUACGGGAGGCAGCAGUGAGGAAUAUUGGUCAAUGGGCGUAAGCCUGAACCAGCCAAGUCGCGUGAGGGAUGAAGGUUCUAUGGAUCGUAAACCUCUUUUAUAAGGGAAUAAAGUGUGGGACGUGUCCUGUUUUGUAUGUACCUUAUGAAUAAGGAUCGGCUAACUCCGUGCCAGCAGCCGCGGUAAUACGGAGGAUCCGAGCGUUAUCCGGAUUUAUUGGGUUUAAAGGGUGCGUAGGCGGCCUUUUAAGUCAGCGGUGAAAGUCUGUGGCUCAACCAUAGAAUUGCCGUUGAAACUGGUAGGCUUGAGUAUGUUUGAGGCAGGCGGAAUGCGUGGUGUAGCGGUGAAAUGCUUAGAUAUCACGCAGAACCCCGAUUGCGAAGGCAGCAUACCAAGCCAUGACUGACGCUGAUGCACGAAAGCGUGGGGAUCGAACAGGAUUAGAUACCCCAGUAGUC
RNAcentral lists this ribosomal RNA (460 nucleotides) under uncultured bacterium. RNAcentral describes it as "partial 16S ribosomal RNA". It matches the Rfam family "Bacterial small subunit ribosomal RNA", at positions 338 to 795 of the family's 1533-position model. The record is from RNAcentral.